This 74-nucleotide transfer RNA is filed under the name Podarcis lilfordi (Lilford's wall lizard). Its description in RNAcentral is "tRNA.Ala". It matches the Rfam family "tRNA". From Rfam's summary of the family: Transfer RNA (tRNA) molecules are approximately 80 nucleotides in length. Their secondary structure includes four short double-helical elements and three loops (D, anti-codon, and T loops). Lineage: Eukaryota; Metazoa; Chordata; Lepidosauria; Squamata; Lacertidae. The record is from RNAcentral.
GAAGAGCUGUAGCUCAGUGGCAAAGCAUCUGCCUUGCAAGCAGACGGUCCCAGGUUCAAUCCCCGGUGUCUUCA